This 792-nucleotide long non-coding RNA is filed under the name Salvia miltiorrhiza (redroot sage). Its description in RNAcentral is "long non-coding RNA (SMIL_LNC010444)". Lineage: Eukaryota; Viridiplantae; Streptophyta; Magnoliopsida; Lamiales; Lamiaceae. The record is from RNAcentral.
AUAUAUAGAUUUCUUUUAUAUUUUUUUAAUAAUCCGUAGCAAAACCGUAGCUACAUAUAGGUAUUUUUUUAUUAUUUUUUUAAUAAUCCGUAGACAAAACCGUAGCUACAUAGUAGGUUAUUUUUUUAUUUUUUUAAUAAUCCGUAGCAAAACCGUAGCUACAUAUUAGGUUAUUUUUUUAUUUUUUUAAUUAAUCCCGUAGACAAAACCGUUAGACUACUAUAUUAGGUUAAUUUUUGUUUUAUUUUUUUAUUACUCUGUAGCAAAGCCGUAGCUACAAAUAGGUAUUUUUUUAUUUUUUUUAAUUAAUCCGUAGCUAUAUACAAGUACAUUUUUUNUUUUUUUUUAACUUUCCGUAGUAAAACCGUAGCUAUAUAUAGAUUUCUUUUAUAUUUUUUAAUAAUCCGUAGCAAAACCGUAGCUAUAUAUAGGUAUUUUUUUAUUUUUUUAACUUUCCGUAGUAAAACCGUAGCUAUAUAUAGAUUUCUUUUUAUAUUUUUUUAAUAAUCCGUAGCAAAACCGUAGCUACAUAUAGGUAUUUUUUUAUUUUUUUUAACCUUCCGUAGUAAAACCGUAGCUAUAUAUAGUAUUUUUUUAUUUUUUUUAAUAUUCCGUAGCAAAACCGUAGCUACAUACCGGCAUUGUUUUUAGUAUUCAGUAGUAAAACCGUAGCAAUAUAUAUACUUUUUAUUUUUAUUUUUUUAAUAUUUCACAGUAAAACCUGUUUCUAAUAAAUACAAAAUCAAUGCAAUAUUUAAAUUAAUAAUCAUCUCAAAAUCAAACUAAUAAAAU